Gopherus evgoodei (Goodes thornscrub tortoise) is the source of this 360-nucleotide long non-coding RNA. RefSeq lists it as uncharacterized. The transcript is spliced from 3 exons. Lineage: Eukaryota; Metazoa; Chordata; Testudines; Testudinidae. The record is from RefSeq and is a predicted model, not a curated record.
UUAAAGGAAGUAAGACAGAGCACAUUGAUUACAAAUCAUUUUGUUUCUAUAGGACUCUCUUACAGAUACAUAUCUGCUUUCUAACACUAAGGAUCCAUUUCAUGUCUGUCUAUAUUAAAUUCAUUAUGGUCUUGACGUGCCACAAUUAUUAAUGCAGUAAUAGCUUUGUUGACUGUCAACAGGUACAAGCCAUCUCAUUAGUAGUUUCCACUGCCAUUCUCUCAGGCAGAGCUACACAAAUGAAAGUGAAGAGUGAAUUACUUCAAAAUGAUAUAUUACUGCUUCCUUACCACACACCAGGUCAUUGGGUUCUUGCGAUAGCCUUGAUGAAAAAAAAGGAAUUGUUAAUAAUUGACCCCU